This 132-nucleotide small RNA is filed under the name Klebsiella sp. RNAcentral describes it as "RtT sRNA". It matches the Rfam family "RtT RNA". From Rfam's summary of the family: This family represents a bacterial cis-regulatory element known as RtT RNA. The record is from RNAcentral. Lineage: Bacteria; Pseudomonadati; Pseudomonadota; Gammaproteobacteria; Enterobacterales; Enterobacteriaceae. RNAcentral also lists the same sequence under 2 other names.
GAUUCUGCCCUACGGGGAAGGAUGAGAAGCUUCGACCAAGGUUCGACUCGAGCGUAGCGAGAGAACGUUGCCGCAGGCAACGGCCAGAAGGGCGAGGAGCGAUAGCGACGAGUUAUCCUUCCCCCACCACCA